GCUUAACACAUGCAAGUCGAGGGGCAGCAUGGUCUUAGCUUGCUAAGGCCGAUGGCGACCGGCGCACGGGUGAGUAACACGUAUCCAACCUGCCGUCUACUCUUGGACAGCCUUCUGAAAGGAAGAUUAAUACAAGAUGGCAUCAUGAGUCCGCAUGUUCACAUGAUUAAAGGUAUUCCGGUAGACGAUGGGGAUGCGUUCCAUUAGAUAGUAGGCGGGGUAACGGCCCACCUAGUCUUCGAUGGAUAGGGGUUCUGAGAGGAAGGUCCCCCACAUUGGAACUGAGACACGGUCCAAACUCCUACGGGAGGCAGCAGUGAGGAAUAUUGGUCAAUGGGCGAGAGCCUGAACCAGCCAAGUAGCGUGAAGGAUGACUGCCCUAUGGGUUGUAAACUUCUUUUAUAAAGGAAUAAAGUCGGGUAUGCAUACCCGUUUGCAUGUACUUUAUGAAUAAGGAUCGGCUAACUCCGUGCCAGCAGCCGCGGUAAUACGGAGGAUCCGAGCGUUAUCCGGAUUUAUUGGGUUUAAAGGGAGCGUAGAUGGAUGUUUAAGUCAGUUGUGAAAGUUUGCGGCUCAACCGUAAAAUUGCAGUUGAUACUGGAUAUCUUGAGUGCAGUUGAGGCAGGCGGAAUUCGUGGUGUAGCGGUGAAAUGCUUAGAUAUCACGAAGAACUCCGAUUGCGAAGGCAGCCUGCUAAGCUGCAACUGACAUUGAGGCUCGAAAGUGUGGGUAUCAAACAGGAUUAGAUACCCUGGUAGUCCACACGGUAAACGAUGAAUACUCGCUGUUUGCGAUAUACAGCAAGCGGCCAAGCGAAAGCGUUAAGUAUUCCACCUGGGGAGUACGCCGGCAACGGUGAAACUCAAAGGAAUUGACGGGGGCCCGCACAAGCGGAGGAACAUGUGGUUUAAUUCGAUGAUACGCGAGGAACCUUACCCGGGCUUAAAUUGCAGAUGAAUUACGGUGAAAGCCGUAAGCCGCAAGGCAUCUGUGAAGGUGCUGCAUGGUUGUCGUCAGCUCGUGCCGUGAGGUGUCGGCUUAAGUGCCAUAACGAGCGCAACCCUUGUUGUCAGUUACUAACAGGUUCCGCUGAGGACUCUGACAAGACUGCCAUCGUAAGAUGUGAGGAAGGUGGGGAUGACGUCAAAUCAGCACGGCCCUUACGUCCGGGGCUACACACGUGUUACAAUGGGGGGUACAGAGGGCCGCUACCACGCGAGUGGAUGCCAAUCCCCAAAACCUCUCUCAGUUCGGACUGGAGUCUGCAACCCGACUCCACGAAGCUGGAUUCGCUAGUAAUCGCGCAUCAGCCACGGCGCGGUGAAUACGUUCCCGGGCCUUGUACACACCGCCCGUCAAGCCAUGGGAGCCGGGGGUACCUGAAGUGCGUAACCGCGAGGAGCGCCCUAGGGUAAAACUGGUGACUGGGGCUAAGU
RNAcentral lists this ribosomal RNA (1436 nucleotides) under uncultured organism. RNAcentral's name for it is "16S ribosomal RNA". It matches the Rfam family "Bacterial small subunit ribosomal RNA". The record is from RNAcentral.